AUGUGUUGCUCAAAUCUGUUCUUGCUGUUGCUAGCAGCUAUAUCUUGUGUCCACUGUGUUGAACUAAUCCAGCCUGCUUCCAGUGUUUUAAGGCCUGGUCAGGCAUUGACACUGACCUGUCAGGUAUCUGGAUAUUCACUGACUGACAGCAGCUACUGCACUCACUGGAUACGACAGGCUGCAGGAAAAGCUCUGGAAUGGAUUGGAGAUAUAUGUGGUAGCGGUAACACAUAUUACAGUGAUGAACUGAAGAGUAGAUUUCAAGUAACCAGAGACUCUUCCAGCAGCAGUAACUCUUAA
Molecule: non-coding RNA, 300 nt
Organism: Xyrauchen texanus (razorback sucker)
Lineage: Eukaryota; Metazoa; Chordata; Actinopteri; Cypriniformes; Catostomidae
Source: the annotation of a RefSeq genome assembly